RNAcentral lists this non-coding RNA (27 nucleotides) under Rattus norvegicus (Norway rat). Lineage: Eukaryota; Metazoa; Chordata; Mammalia; Rodentia; Muridae. The record is from RNAcentral.
UGUCCUGUUUUGUAUUGUUUUCCAGGA